GUCAAGAAGUGAUCGCGGGGUCUUACGAGGAGGACUUAAAAUCCUCCCAGUGUGGGUUCGACCCCCACUCGGGGCACCA
This 79-nucleotide transfer RNA is filed under the name uncultured Actinomycetes bacterium. RNAcentral describes it as "tRNA-Leu". Lineage: Bacteria; Bacillati; Actinomycetota; Actinomycetes. The record is from RNAcentral.